This 1519-nucleotide ribosomal RNA is filed under the name fermentation metagenome. RNAcentral describes it as "bacterial LSU rRNA". It matches the Rfam family "Bacterial large subunit ribosomal RNA", at positions 1113 to 2611 of the family's 2925-position model. The record is from RNAcentral.
CAGCCACCCUUUAAAGAGUGCGUAACAGCUCACUGGUCGAGGACUUUUGCGCCGAGAAUGUAGGGGGCUAAGCAUACUGCCGAAGCUGCGGGAUAUGUGCAAGAGUGUAUAUAUCGGUAGGGGAGCGUUCCAUACGGGGCGAAGCAGAGCCGCGAGGUCAUGUGGACUGUAUGGAAGUGAGAAUGCUGGCAUGAGUAACGCGAAGUGCGUGAGAAACGUACUCACCGGAAGCCCAAGGGUUCCUGGGGAAGGUUCAUCCGCCCAGGGUUAGGCGGGACCUAAGGCGAGGCCGAGAGGCGUAGUCGAUGGAUAGCAGGUAGAUAUUCCUGUCCCAGCCAAUGAGCGUUAAUACCGAAGGGGUGACACAGAAAGCUAGGUGAUCCGGGUGAUGGAAGUCCCGGUCCAAGGGUGUAGGGAGUUUCCGCAGGCAAAUCCGCGGGAAUAAUUCUGAGACCUGAUGGGGAGGCCCUACGGGGUCGAAGUCAUUGAAGCUCGGCUGUCGAGAAAAGCCUCUAGGGAGUUUGUUGGUUGCUCGUACCCGAAACCGACACAGGUGGGCUAGCUGAGGAAGCUAAGGUGAGCGGGAAAACCCUCGUUAAGGAACUCUGCAAGUUGACCCCGUAACUUCGGGAGAAGGGGUGCCACUCUGGUGAAAUAUAAUCAUAUGGAGCUAAGGGUGGUCGCAGAAACCAGGCUCAGGCGACUGUUUACUAAAAACACAGGUCUCUGCAUAAGGCGUAAGCCGAAGUAUAGGGACUGACACCUGCCCGGUGCUGGAAGGUUAAAUGGAGAGGUUAGCGUAAGCGACGCUUUGAAAUGAAGCCCCAGUAAACGGCGGCCGUAACUAUAACGGUCCUAAGGUAGCGAAAUUCCUUGUCGGGUAAGUUCCGACCUGCACGAAUGGUGUAACGAUCUGAGCACUGUCUCAACGAGGGACCCGGUGAAAUUGUGGUACUGGUAAAGACGCCAGUUACCUGUGGUGGGACGGAAAGACCCCGUGGAGCUUUACUGUAGCCUGAUAUUGGAUUUUGGUCUGUCAUGUACAGGAUAGGUGGGAGGCAUUGAACGCAGGGCGUCAGCUUUGCGGGAGCCGUUGUUGGGAUACCACCCUUGACAUGCUGAAGUUCUAACUGUCGAGUCUGAAUCGGCUGGCAGGACAUUGUCAGGUGGGCAGUUUGACUGGGGCGGUCGCCUCCUAAAGAGUAACGGAGGCGCGCAAAGGUCACCUCAGGGCGUAUGGAAACCGCCCAUAGAGAGCGCAAAGGUAUAAGGUGGCUUGACUGUGAGAGAGACAUCUCGAGCAGGAACGAAAGUUGGUCUUAGUGAUCCGGCGGUACCGAGUGGAAGGGCCGUCGCUCAACGGAUAAAAGCUACCCCGGGGAUAACAGGCUGAUCUUGCCCGAGAGUUCCUAUCGACGGCAAGGUUUGGCACCUCGAUGUCGGCUCGUCGCAUCCUGGGGCUGAAGCAGGUCCCAAGGGUUGGUCUGUUCGCCCAUUAAAGCGGUACGUGAGCUGGGUU